GAUCGAUUAGCUGAGUAAAAGCUUGGCUAUCUUGUGGGCGAAUGUUUACGCCGAUUAAGCCCCAGUGUUUACCUGCUGGUUGAGCCAGUAAUCGAUCA
RNAcentral lists this transfer RNA (98 nucleotides) under Marinomonas sp. MED121. RNAcentral describes it as "tRNA-Pro". Lineage: Bacteria; Pseudomonadati; Pseudomonadota; Gammaproteobacteria; Oceanospirillales; Oceanospirillaceae. The record is from RNAcentral.